CCUACGGGUGGCAGCAGUGAGGAAUAUUGGUCAAUGGGCGAGAGCCUGAACCAGCCAAGUCGCGUGAAGGAUGACGGCCCUACGGGUUGUAACCUUCUUUUGUCAGGGAGCAAUUUGUUCCACGCGUAGGCUUAGCGAGAGUCCCUGAAGAAACAGCAUCGGCUAACUCCGUGCCCGCAGCCGCGGUAAUACGGAGGAUGCGAUCGUUAUCCGGAUUUCUUGGGUUUAAAGGGUGCGUAGGAGGAAUAUAAAGUCAGCGGUAAAACUUCGGGGCUCAACCCCGUCGUGCCGUUGAAACUGGUGUGCGUGAGUGGGCGAGAAGUAUGCGGAAUGCGUGGUGGAGCGGUGAAAUGCAGAGAUAUCACGCAGAACUCCGAUUGCGAAGGCAGCAUACCGGCGCCCAACUGACGCUGAAGCACGAAAGCGUGGGUAUCGAACAGGAUUAGAUACCCGGGUAGUC
RNAcentral lists this ribosomal RNA (460 nucleotides) under uncultured bacterium. Its description in RNAcentral is "partial 16S ribosomal RNA". It matches the Rfam family "Bacterial small subunit ribosomal RNA", at positions 338 to 795 of the family's 1533-position model. The record is from RNAcentral.